Molecule: unclassified non-coding RNA, 312 nt
Filed under: uncultured fungus
Lineage: Eukaryota; Fungi
Description: partial contains small subunit ribosomal RNA, internal transcribed spacer 1, and 5.8S ribosomal RNA
Rfam family: Eukaryotic small subunit ribosomal RNA (bases 1-73)
Source: RNAcentral
CCAAACUUGGUCAUUUAGAGGAAGUAAAAGUCGUAACAAGGUUACCGUAGGUGAACCUGCGGUAGGAUCAUUAUCAAAUUAUCCAAACCAAAAAAUAUAAUUCAUCUUUGUGUGGAUUAUAAUAGAAGAAGUUUAAAGGAAAUAGAACAAUUUUUUUUAAAAAAGAUUGUUCUAUUUUUUUUUCUCUUCUUCAAAAUUUAUAUAAACUCGUCUUACUUUCUUGUCUGACAAAAAACGAUUUUAUAAUCAUAAAAAAAAAAUACAACUUUCAACAACGGAUCUCUUGGUUCUCGCAUCGAUGAAGAACGCAGC